UGCAGUCGAACGGUGAAGCCUUUCGGGGUGGAUCAGUGGCGAACGGGUGAGUAACACGUGGGCAAUCUGCCCUGCACUCUGGGACAAGCCCUGGAAACGGGGUCUAAUACCGGAUAUGACCUGCUCUCGCAUGGGGGUGGGUGGAAAGCUUCGGCGGUGCAGGAUGAGCCCGCGGCCUAUCAGCUUGUUGGUGGGGUGAUGGCCUACCAAGGCGACGACGGGUAGCCGGCCUGAGAGGGCGACCGGCCACACUGGGACUGAGACACGGCCCAGACUCCUACGGGAGGCAGCAGUGGGGAAUAUUGCACAAUGGGCGGAAGCCUGAUGCAGCGACGCCGCGUGAGGGAUGACGGCCUUCGGGUUGUAAACCUCUUUCAGCAGGGAAGAAGCGCAAGUGACGGUACCUGCAGAAGAAGCACCGGCUAACUACGUGCCAGCAGCCGCGGUAAUACGUAGGGUGCGAGCGUUGUCCGGAAUUAUUGGGCGUAAAGAGCUCGUAGGCGGCUUGUCGCGUCGGAUGUGAAAGCCCGGGGCUUAACCCCGGGUCUGCAUUCGAUACGGGCAGGCUAGAGUUCGGUAGGGGAGAUCGGAAUUCCUGGUGUAGCGGUGAAAUGCGCAGAUAUCAGGAGGAACACCGGUGGCGAAGGCGGAUCUCUGGGCCGAUACUGACGCUGAGGAGCGAAAGCGUGGGGAGCGAACAGGAUUAGAUACCCUGGUAGUCCACGCCGUAAACGUUGGGAACUAGGUGUGGGCGACAUUCCACGUCGUCCGUGCCGCAGCUAACGCAUUAAGUUCCCCGCCUGGGGAGUACGGCCGCAAGGCUAAAACUCAAAGGAAUUGACGGGGGCCC
RNAcentral lists this ribosomal RNA (850 nucleotides) under Streptomyces sp. 764H7. RNAcentral's name for it is "bacterial SSU rRNA". It matches the Rfam family "Bacterial small subunit ribosomal RNA", at positions 56 to 922 of the family's 1533-position model. The record is from RNAcentral. Lineage: Bacteria; Bacillati; Actinomycetota; Actinomycetes; Kitasatosporales; Streptomycetaceae.